UGGGGGAUAUUGCACAAUGGGCGAAAGCCUGAUGCAGCGACGCCGCGUGGGGGAUGAAGGCUUUCGGGUUGUAAACCUCUUUCGCUAUCGAACAAGGCCCGCUUAGGGUGGGUUGAGGGUAGGUGGAGAAGAAGCGCCGGCUAACUACGUGCCAGCAGCCGCGGUAAUACGUAGGGCGCGAGCGUUGUCCGGAAUUAUUGGGCGUAAAGGGCUUGUAGGCGGCUUGUUGCGCCUGCUGUGAAAACGCGGGGCUUAACUUCGCGCGUGCAGUGGGUACGGGCAGGCUUGAGUGUGGUAGGGGUGACUGGAAUUCCAGGUGUAGCGGUGGAAUGCGCAGAUAUCUGGAGGAACACCGCUGGAGAAGGCAGGUCACUGGGCCAUUACUGACGCUGAGGAGCGAAAGCAUGGGUAGCGAACAGG
This 420-nucleotide ribosomal RNA is filed under the name bacterium. Its description in RNAcentral is "partial 16S ribosomal RNA". It matches the Rfam family "Bacterial small subunit ribosomal RNA", at positions 355 to 776 of the family's 1533-position model. The record is from RNAcentral.